This 322-nucleotide ribosomal RNA is filed under the name Pseudo-nitzschia fraudulenta. Its description in RNAcentral is "partial Bacterial small subunit ribosomal RNA". It matches the Rfam family "Bacterial small subunit ribosomal RNA", at positions 1071 to 1414 of the family's 1533-position model. The record is from RNAcentral. Lineage: Eukaryota; Bacillariophyta; Bacillariophyceae; Bacillariales; Bacillariaceae.
GAUGUUGGGUUAAGUCCCGCAACGAGCGCAAUCCUUAUCCUUAGUUGCCAGCACGUCUGGGUGGGCACUCUAAGGAAACUGCCGGUGCUAAGCCGGAGGAAGGUGGGGAUGACGUCAAGUCCUCAUGGCCCUUACACCCUGGGCUACACACGUGCUACAAUGGCAGUGACAAUGGGCUAAUCCCAAAAAGCUGUCUCAGUUCGGAUUGGGGUCUGCAACUCGACCCCAUGAAGUUGGAAUCGCUAGUAAUCGCGGAUCAGCACGCCGCGGUGAAUACGUUCCCGGGCCUUGUACACACCGCCCGUCAAGCCAUGGAAGCCGG